This 230-nucleotide ribosomal RNA is filed under the name uncultured bacterium. RNAcentral describes it as "partial 16S ribosomal RNA". It matches the Rfam family "Bacterial small subunit ribosomal RNA", at positions 562 to 791 of the family's 1533-position model. The record is from RNAcentral.
AAAGGGUGCGUAGGCGGCCUGUUAAGUCAGGGGUGAAAGACGGUAGCUCAACUAUCGCAGUGCCCUUGAUACUGAUGGGCUUGAAUUGACUAGAGGUAGGCGGAAUGUGACAAGUAGCGGUGAAAUGCAUAGAUAUUACUUAGAACACCAAUUGCGAAGGCAGGUCACUAUGUUUUAACUGACGCUGAUGGACGAAAGCGUGGGGAGCGAACAGGAUUAGAUACCCGUGU